Molecule: ribosomal RNA, 468 nt
Filed under: uncultured bacterium
Lineage: Bacteria
Description: partial 16S ribosomal RNA
Rfam family: Bacterial small subunit ribosomal RNA
Source: RNAcentral
GACGAACGCUGGCGGCGUGCUUAACACAUGCAAGUCGAACGGAAAGGCCCUGCUUUUGUGGGGUGCUCGAGUGGCGAACGGGUGAGUAACACGUGAGUAACCUGCCCUUGACUUUGUGAUAACUUCAGGAAACUGGGGCUAAUACCGGAUAGGAUCUCCUGCUGCAUGGUGGUGGUUGGAAAGUUUCGGCGGUUGGGGAUGGACUCGCGGGUUAUCAGCUUGUUGGUGUGGUAGUGGCUUACCAAGGCUUUGACGGGUAGCCGGCCUGAGAGGGUGAACGGCGACAUUGGGACUGAGAUACGGCCCAGACUCCUACGGGAGGCAGCAGUGGGGAAUAUUGCACAAUGGGCGGAAGCCUGAUGCAGCAACGCCGCGUGCGGGAUGACGGCCUUCGGGUUGUAAACCGCUUUCGCCUGUGACGAAGCGUGAGUGACGGUAAUGGGUAAAGAAGCACCGGCUAACUACGUG